This 484-nucleotide ribosomal RNA is filed under the name uncultured bacterium. RNAcentral describes it as "partial 16S ribosomal RNA". It matches the Rfam family "Bacterial small subunit ribosomal RNA", at positions 30 to 507 of the family's 1533-position model. The record is from RNAcentral.
AUUGAACGCUGGCGGCAGGCCUAACACAUGCAAGUCGAGCGGAUGAAGGGAGCUUGCUCCUGGAUUCAGCGGCGGACGGGUGAGUAAUGCCUAGGAAUCUGCCUGGUAGUGGGGGAUAACGUCCGGAAACGGGCGCUAAUACCGCAUACGUCCUGAGGGAGAAAGUGGGGGAUCUUCGGACCUCACGCUAUCAGAUGAGCCUAGGUCGGAUUAGCUAGUUGGUGGGGUAAAGGCCCACCAAGGCGACGACCCGUAACUGGUCUGAGAGGAUGAUCAGUCACACUGGAACUGAGACACGGUCCAGACUCCUACGGGAGGCAGCAGUGGGGAAUAUUGGACAAUGGGCGAAAGCCUGAUCCAGCCAUGCCGCGUGUGUGAAGAAGGUCUUCGGAUUGUAAAGCACUUUAAGUUGGGAGGAAGGGCAGUAAGUUAAUACCUUGCUGUUUUGACGUUACCAACAGAAUAAGCACCGGCUAACUUCGUG